GUGGGGAAUCUUCCGCAAUGGACGAAAGUCUGACGGAGCAACGCCGCGUGAGUGAAGAAGGUUUUCGGAUCGUAAAGCUCUUUCGUUAGGGACGAACGUGCUCUUUGUGAAUAAUGAGGAGUAAUGACGGUACCUAAAUAAGAAGCCACGGCUAACUACGUGCCAGCAGCCGCGGUAAUACGUAGGUGGCAAGCGUUGUCCGGAAUUAUUGGGCAUAAAGCGCGCGCAGGCGGGAUAUCAAGUCUGUCUUAAAAGUGCGAGGCUCAACCUCGUGAGGGGACAGAAACUGGUAUUCUUGAGUGUCGGAGAGGAAAGUGGAAUUCCAAGUGUAGCGGUGAAAUGCGUAGAGAUUUGGAAGAACACCAGUGGCGAAGGCGACUUUCUGGACGAUGUCUGACGCUGAGGCGCGAAAGCUAGGGGAGCGAACGGGAUUAGAUACCCUGGUAGUCC
This 450-nucleotide ribosomal RNA is filed under the name uncultured bacterium. RNAcentral's name for it is "partial 16S ribosomal RNA". It matches the Rfam family "Bacterial small subunit ribosomal RNA", at positions 354 to 796 of the family's 1533-position model. The record is from RNAcentral.